Molecule: non-coding RNA, 252 nt
Organism: Neolamprologus brichardi
Lineage: Eukaryota; Metazoa; Chordata; Actinopteri; Cichliformes; Cichlidae
Source: RefSeq, a predicted model, not a curated record
AGAUUCCAAACUUGAGGGAAGAAGUAAGAAAGACAGAGAUACAGCAAAACACAUUUCCCAGGGAUGUUGAAGAGGGUUCCAUUUUAUUAACGACGCCCGAGAGUUCCAUCAUCAUAAAUUCACCUGAAAACACCAUCAUUUAAAGCCCUCGCCCAAAUAGACACCAUUAGAAGUUCUGAGCUGCUGAGAAUCUGGAUAAAUCUGGAUACGAGGAUCUGCCGUACACAGCUUCGUAACAGUCCAGGUGAAGUA